CUUCCGGGUCGUCUCCAGGGACAGGUACUCCACCCAGCUCUUCUUGUCCUGGUAGUUCUUGGACUCAUCCACGAUCUUCUGAAACAUCGCUCUCUUCCUGAACCCAGGGAACAAGGGAGGUGCAGGUGGGAGCAAGUGUGGAGACCCCGCCCCAAGCGCCCGUCUGCAGGGAGGCGCGGAGCCCGAGCGAGGCCCCAUCCGGGGUGCGCGGGGCCGGCGGGCAGGGACGGAAUCCGGGGCUGCGUCCCCCGGGCUGUGCCGCCGCUGCGCCCCCGUGUCUGCCGGGGGUCCCAGGCUACCCGCCCGCCCCGCGAGGCGCCCCCUCCCGGAAGGCGCGCACUUGAAGUACAGGGCCAGGUCCGUGGCGAUGAUGGCGAUGUCCAUCAGGUGGAUCACGUGCUCGUGCUGCCGCCGGUUCAGGUUCUGGUAGAUGUUCAGGGUCUGCGGAGGUUAUGCCCAGCGCGUCAGGCGCCCUGCGGCCACCUCUCAGGGUGCCCGGGGACCCCGCCCCUUCCGCCUCGGCUGCCUGUGCCUCUCACGCCCCCGCCCUCGGGCCCUCGGUGGGCGGGACCCCUAAUCCGCCUGCUGCUCAGGGCCCUCCUCAGGGUGCCCAGCUCUCCACCAGCGGCUCCAUCGUCGGCUUGGGACGCAGAUGGCCUCAGAGGUCACCACCGGGGAGCGCAGGGAGGGGUCCACUGAGUGUCCAGGUCCUUGGGGGCCGCUCAGGGCUCGGCUGCCCUUCAUUCCCCCGCUGGUGGGUCCCGGGCCGCUUCCCCUUCGGCUUCCACCCCACCCCAUGAGGGGCCCUUUCCAGUUGUCUUCCCCACAAGCGUUUUCCCAGGGCCUCCGAUGCACCUGCCCUCAGCCUCGGCCCUCCGCCUUCUCUGCCGCCCUCCCCCAGUGCUCACACACCCAGUGCUCACCCGCUGCAUCAGAACCCUGCUCCGCAGGAUACGGCCCUGCCGUCCUGCGGACGCUGCGUCCCCAGCGCCCACAGCAGAAACCGAGGGGCCUGCACAACCCUGGUGAUUCUGGCAGCCACGUACCAUGAGCAGCGUGAACAUCGUCUGGGCCACGUUGAAGCCGUGGCGCCAGUUGUGGUAGGUGAUUCUCCGGUACCCUUUGCUGAUGGAGAACAGGAACCGCACCAGGACCUGGGGGAGCCGAGAGGACACAGGGCUCCGGCGGCAAGCGUCCUCACACGUGGCCGGCCUCCAUGGGAGGGACGGGAGCAAGGUUCUUACCAGGAUUUCGCCCAGCUCGUCCUCAUCGCAGUCAGCAGGCUCCUUCCCCAGGCGCGCUCUGGUUGGCUACACAGAGACACAGAUGUGUCACGAGAAAGAGCUUCGCAUGUGGGACAAGGUGACGGCGGUGCGUCCACCCCGUGUGAGCUAGAGGAAGGUGCUGUCAAGAGCUUGUGCUUUCACCCUGGGAAGGCCCUGGCGGCCUCUGAUCUGGAGACAAAUGACCGUGUGCAUGGCCUGCUGACUUUCCCACCUGUCCUCUCUCGGGCACUGCCUUACGCAGUCCUCAGAGCCAUGACCUCUGGGUGACCCCUGGAUGGACCCCUGGACGACCUGCCCCCACCACACAGCCGUGACCCCUGGAUGACCUGCCCCCACCGCACAGCCAUGACCCCUGGGUGAGCCCUGGAUGACCUGCCUCUGCUGCACAGCCAUGACCCCUGUGACCCCUCAAUGGACCCCUGGACGACCUGCCUGUGCCACACAGCCAUGACCCCUGGGUGACCCCUGGACGACCUGCCCCUGCCGCACAGCCGUGACCCCUGGGUGACCCCUGGACGACCUGCCCCCGCCGCACAGCCAUGACCCCUGGGUGAGCCCUGGAUGACCUGCCUCUGCUGCACAGCCAUGACCCCUGGGUGACCCCUGGAUGCCCUGCCCCCGCCGCACAGCUGUGACCCCUGGGUGACCCCUGGACGACCUGCCCCCACCGCACAGCCGUGACCCCUGGGUGACCCCUGGACGACCUGCCCCCACCGCACAGCCGUGACCCCUGGGUGACCCCUGGAUGACCUGCCCCCACCACACAGCCGAGACCCCUGGGUGACCCCUGGACGACCUGCCCCUGCCACACAGCCGUGACCCCUGGGUGACCCCUGGACGUCCUGCCCCGCCGCACCAGGAUGAGCUGGAUCUCGUCCCUGUCGCACUUCACGUGGUAAAGGACCAUGUCCUGUGCGAUGUCCUUGCGGUUCUCCAGCUUGUUCAUCUUGUCGUAGGUGUCGGUGUUCAUCACUGACCAGCCCAGGAACUGUGUCAGGGACUGGAGGGGAUGGCAGUGUCACUGGCGCUCAGCGCUCCCGGCGCGCCCCCUCCCAUGUGCCUGUGUGCCAGGCCCCGUGGCUCGGCGGGCAGGUCCUGGGGCUGCCACCAUGGUGUCGCAGUGCUUCUGUGUGGGGUCUCCCGGGUGCUCUGCAGAGGCUCCUGCUCCCGGGGGGGCCCUUUGUCGUCCUCUCCCUGGCCGCAUGCAUACCGCACACACAUGAGCACACGCACACAGCCGAAUGCUUGGCGGGGAGGCCCCCACACCGCACAGGCCCCACCCCUCGCAGGGCAUCCCCGGCGGAACCACGUCUGCCCAGGUGCUUACCUCCAUGAGAACCUCGUCCUGUUCGUCAAAGGGCUUCCCGUCUUUCCUGUUGUAAAAUGUGGCGACUCCCACAAUCUCCUCCUUCUUGUUGACGAUGGGCAUGGACAGCACAUUCUUGAUGAGCCACCCGGAGUCGUCCAGGGCCCCUUCCUGCGGGAGCGGUGUCCAGAGCUGAGCUCCGCCCUGAGGCUGGCCCUGGCCCGGGCGUGUGGCCGGGGAGAGUGACCUCAUGUCUUCUCCCCUAGAGCCGUGACGGCUGGGCUCGUGUUCCUGUCUCUGCUCUCUGCAUUCCCUCUCUCCCUCUCUGCAUUUGGAGUUUGUGUCCAUGGUUUUUGUGUCAUGAUAUUUUCCCACCGGAGGAGGUAGAGGCCGUUUUCCCACCAGGAGUGGUUUCAUGGGCAUGUGUGUGGGGCGGCGGUCACGGCCUCGCAGGGGUGUGUGGGGGCCGCGGUCACGGCCUCGCAGGGGUGUGUGGGGGCCGCGGUCACGGCCUCGCAGGGGUGUGUGGGGGCCGCGGUCACGGCCUUGCGGGCGUGUGUGGGGGCUGUGGUCACAGCCCCAGGUGAUCCACCCGCCUCAGCCUCCCAAAGUGCUGGGAUUACAGGCGUGAGCCACCAUGCCUGGCUGAAGUUGUUUUUUAAGUGGCAAAAACGAAUUCACUUCAUCAUCGCUGAAUCAAAAUCUCCUCUUUUGUAAGUAAGUAUAAUUUCUACCAAGGCACAGACAGAUACCUGAAAUUUGAACAUUUCGUCAGCGGAAGCAUUCAUGAUGUUACAAAUCUGAAAAAGCAUCAGAAAAACGAUUUCAUCCAAAACAGCGGAAGGUCUGUUAUGAUCUAAAAUGGCCUCUGUGGCCCUGAGGUGAGCUUUUAAGUAGGUAAAGCAGGGCAGCUGGGGGCUUCACUGAGGCACGUGGAGCUGGCCGGGAGGGCGGGACGUGGCAGAGACAAGGAGAAGCACACAUCGCCGCACCCAGUGAGGGCAAGGCUGUGGGGACUCCAGACAGCACGGGACUCACAAAGCCGCUUUCUGCCACGUAGCUUGGAAGGCCGCUGGCCAGGGCCCAGUGAUCGGCUGAGGGUGUGCUGUGGGCAGAGAGCAGGGGUCAGAUAGGCCACGCCGGGCUGGAUGUGCGCGUGCAGGAGUCAGAGGGACUGGAUGUCUGUGUGCAGGGGUGAGAGGGGCUGGUCUAGGCUGCACGUGUGUGUGCAGGGGUCAGAGGGGCUGGUCUGGGCUGCACGUGUGUGUGCAGGGGUCAGAGGGGCCAGGCUGCGCUGGAUGUAGGUGUACUGGGGUCAGAUGGACUGGGCGUGUGUGCAGGGGUCUGGGGGUCUCUGGCUCAUGUGCCAUCCUCAGCAUUUACUCUCUUCUCUGAGUGCCAGGGGGUUCAGGAGGCGAGGAGGCCAGGGCGUGGGUUGGAGGACGGCUGUGCUGCCUUCUUCCUCCUCCCCAGGCUGCCGUGCUGGGGCCCCUCCCUCUUGGGAACCCCUCCCUCUCCGGAGGCCGUAUGGCUUCAGCCUGCUUUCUAGGACUCAGCGUUGGUGCCUGCCCUGCCACCCUGACCCUGACUUGUGCUCAAGCCUGGCACCUGGAUCCUGGUUCCUGCUUGGGGCCUGGGGAUGGGGUCCCAAUAGGCUUAUGGGAUCACAGGGCCACUGGGCCACCAGCUGCCCCUCCCUUGGCUGGAGUCCUGCCCUGACCUCCGGACUGGAGUUCCCCUCCUCUUCCAGCCCCACGGGGCCAAGACUCGGCCUCCUGGCUGGAGGCUCCACUGUCUGGGUGGGGCUGGUGGUGCCAGGGUCAAAUCCUGGGGCCUUCAUGCUCAAUUGUUGCUGACGAGGCCGCCUGGACAGCUUGCCUGGUCCCCUGUAUGUCCACUCUGGAUGUCCACAGUGACUCGGGCUCCUCAGCAGCCCACGUCCUCCUCACCAUCUCCCAGAACAGAGGCCCACGGAGUACCGCUCGCAGUUGAGGUAGGCCCGCACCGUGUAGAAGGCCUUGUGGAACUGCCUCUCGAUGUCCGUCAGCUCCUCAAACACCUUGUUGGCCGACCACAGCAGCACCUGGAGGGAGGGGCACACCUGUGGGCCUGUGGCCACUCCCACCCUCACGCCGGUCUGACCACAGCAGCAGGGGUUUAACUCAAGCCUGACACAGGUUUCAUCUGAGCUUGUGGGGCCCGGGAGCUGGCUGGCGGUGAGGCCUCGAGGCUGCGGUCGUGUCCCUGAUCACUCAGGAGUGGACGAGUGGAAAGUGGAAUCUGUCGCUUUGAGCUUGACAGGCAAACAUCCGACCAGCCCUUCCUCCGCCCGGCUGCUCCAGAACCACCUGCGGCGAGCAGGGCUUUGAGAACAUCGGGCCGUGGUUUCCGCACGUCAGGCCGCCUGUGGCCUCCGCCAAGCGUCUGAGAGUGAAGCAUUGCUGACGCACUCCACGAGGUCCUGGCCAGACCCCACUCAGGACAUCCCGCUGCACAGGCCCCUGGUUGCUGGGUCAGCGCUGCCACCAGGCUCAGACUCACCCCAGGGCCCUCCUUGGGCCACCUUUCUCUGCCUCCUUGGUCAAGGCCCAGACCCAGGCCCCACCAGGCCCUGCCUCCUCACACUCGCGGCGGCCGCUGGGUCUUCUACCGCAUGGUGCCAGCUCCCUCUCCUCCGCUGCGGUGUCCUAGCCCAGCUCUCUCCCUGCCAGGCCCUCUGAAGUUCCACCCCCUGGCACUCAGCUCAUGGUGGGAACAGGACCAGGCUCUCCUGUUGCCAAGGGCAGUGAGAUGUUCGUAGCUUUAUUUCCCAGUACAUUGAUUUUACUGAUUUUAGUUUAUCUUCAGUUGAAUAAUUGUGUGUAUUGAUGGGGUUUAUGUUUUAUGGGGUUUGGCGUGAUGUUCUGAUGUAAGUAUUUGUUGCAGAAAGAUUCAAUUAAGCUAAUCAACAUAUCCAUCACCUCACCAACUUGUUUUUUUUGUGGUGAGAACAUUACAAGUCUAUUUUCUAGCAAUUUGGUAUACAAUACAGUCAUCCCUCGGCAUCCUCAGGGAAAUUGGUUCCAGGACGCCGCUCUGAUAACAAAAUCCGAGGAUGUUCAAGUCCCGGAUGUGAAAUGGCCUAGAGUUUGUACAGAGGUUGCACACGCACCCCCAGGACUUCAAAUCAUCUCCGAUGACUUAGCACCCAGUGCAAGGCAAGGCCAUGAAAACGGCUGUUCUACUGUAUUGUUUUACAUUCUUAUUCUUAUUUUUAAUUUAAAACUUUUCCCACAUCAUAAAUCCUCGGAAGCAGAACUGCACUUACCGAGCACCCUGUGUACUGUGGUUAACGGCAGUGGUGGCCGCCACACAGCGCGGCUGACCUUGAAGCCCACAGCUCCAGCUAACGAACGCUUUGCACCCUUUCACCAACGUCUCUGCUUUCUCUAUCUCUCUUCCUGCCCCGGCCUCCUGCAACCCCCUUUCCACUCUCUGUUUCCAUGAAUUCAGGGUUUUCGGAUCCCACAUGUGAGUGAGAUCCUAGCUUUUGGCCAGUGGCAUCCUCCAGGUCCAUGCACGUCAGUGCCCUUCCCUGGCAGCAUCCUCAGUGCCGGCUCUGCUGUUCCCAGAGUCCCUCCCUCCCUCCCUGCUGAGGCCCGGCCCCCCUGCAGCCCCUGAGCACCAGCCUCUCUCGUCCAACACCUUUUUCUCCCUGAAGCCUUUCCUGAGCCAUGUUUCUCCAGUGACCCUGACCCCUGCCUCGCAAUCUCCGCCCGGGUCUGCAGCCUACCCUGACUCCUGCCUCACCGAUGGGUGUGGACCCUCCUCACUGGCCUCCACACUCUCCUGCCCUGACCCCAGUCACCGUCGUGGAGCCGCCCUGGCCGCAGUCACAGUCAUGGAGCUGCUGCUGGUGCCACCCUCAGCAGAAGCUCCCAGCCUUCCCAGCCCCUAUCUGAGUAUGUCCCACCCCCCGUGUCCCUGCACUGGUCAGGAGCUUUGGCCCCAUGCCCGUGUGAAGAAGUCAGCUCAGUCACUGGAGUUAGUGGGUCCAGAACAGGACUUGGGAAAACAGCAGGUGCAGAUGGCGACCGCCCUAGCACUCUCCACAGCCCCGGCACCUGCUGAAUGGAGACGGCUCCCCAUAGCCCCGGCGCCUGCUGAAUGGAGACGGCUCUUCAUAGCUCCAGAGCCUGCUGAAUGGAGACGGCUCCCCAUAGCCCUGGC
Molecule: long non-coding RNA, 6801 nt
Filed under: Homo sapiens (human)
Lineage: Eukaryota; Metazoa; Chordata; Mammalia; Primates; Hominidae
Description: non-protein coding lnc-ATP5ME-1:2
Source: RNAcentral